RNAcentral lists this ribosomal RNA (33 nucleotides) under Hebeloma theobrominum. RNAcentral describes it as "partial 28S ribosomal RNA". The record is from RNAcentral. Lineage: Eukaryota; Fungi; Basidiomycota; Agaricomycetes; Agaricales; Hymenogastraceae. RNAcentral also lists the same sequence under 1 other name.
CAAAUCAGGUAGGACUACCCGCUGAACUUAAGC